Molecule: ribosomal RNA, 468 nt
Filed under: uncultured bacterium
Lineage: Bacteria
Description: partial 16S ribosomal RNA
Rfam family: Bacterial small subunit ribosomal RNA
Source: RNAcentral
GACGAACGCUGGCGGCGUGCUUAACACAUGCAAGUCGAACGGAAAGGCCCUGCUUUUGUGGGGUGCUCGAGUGGCGAACGGGUGAGUAACACGUGAGUAACCUGCCCUUGACUUUGGGAUAACUUCAGGAAACUGUGGCUAAUACCGGAUAGGAGCUCCUGCUGCUUGGUGUGGGUUGGAACGUUUCGGCGGUUGGGGAUGGACUCGCGGCUUAUCAGCUUGUUGGUGGGGUAGUGGCUUACCAAGGCUUUGACGGGUAGCCGGCCUGAGAGGGUGACCGGACACAUUGGGACUGAGAUACGGCCCAGACUCCUACGGGAGGCAGCGGUGGGGAAUAUUGCACAAUGGGCGGAAGCCUGAUGCAGCAACGCCGCGUGCGGGAUGACGGCCUUCGAGUUGUAAACCGCUUUCGCCUGUGACGAAGCGUGAGUGACGGUAAUGGGUAAAGAAGCACCGGCUAACUACGUG